RNAcentral lists this ribosomal RNA (501 nucleotides) under uncultured bacterium. RNAcentral's name for it is "bacterial SSU rRNA". It matches the Rfam family "Bacterial small subunit ribosomal RNA", at positions 773 to 1263 of the family's 1533-position model. The record is from RNAcentral.
AGGGAAUAGAUACCCGGGUAGUCCUGGCAGUAAACGGUGCACGUUUGGUGUGGGCGCAAUCGACCGCGUCCGCGCCGGAGCUAAACGCGUUAAACGUGCCGCCUGGGAAGUACGGUCGCAAGAUUAAAACUCAAAGAAAUUGACGGGGACCCGCACAAGCGGUGGAGUACGUGGCUUAAUUCGAUGCAACGCGAAGAACCUUACCUGGUCUUGACAUGCAUUGUGUCUCCGGUGAAAGCCGGAUAGGGUAGCAAUACCCGCUUUGCACAGGUGCUGCAUGGCUGUCGUCAGCUCGUGUCGUGAGAUGUUGGGUUAAGUCCCGCAACGAGCGCAACCCCGUGUGAUUUGUUGCCACCGGCUUAUGCCGAGCACUCGAAUCAAACCUGCCUCGAUCAACGAGGAGGAAGGUGGGGUAGUGACGUCAAGUCCGUAUGGCCCGUUACGACCAGGGCUGCACACGUACUACAAUGCCCAGUACAAUGUGAACCGAGACCGCGAGGU